UAUUGGGCAAUGGGCGCAAGCCUGACCCAGCAACGCCGCGUGAAGGAAGAAGGCUUUCGGGUUGUACACUUCUUUUCUCAGGGACGAAGAAAGUGACGGUACCUGAGGAAUAAGCCACGGCUAACUACGUCCCAGCAGCCGCGGUAAUACGUAGGUGGCAAGCGUUAUCCGGAUUUAUUGGGUGUAAAGGGCGGGUAGGCGGGAGGGCAAGUCAGAUGUGAAAACUCAGGGCUCAACCCUGAGCCUGCAUUUGAAACUGUGUUUCUUGAGUGCUGGAGAGGCAAUCGGAAUUCCGUGUGUAGCGGUGAAAUGCGUAGAUAUACGGAGGAACACCAGUGGCGAAGGCGGAUUGCUGGACAGUAACUGACGCUGAGGCGCGAAAGCGUGGGGAGCAAACAGG
This 400-nucleotide ribosomal RNA is filed under the name uncultured bacterium. RNAcentral describes it as "bacterial SSU rRNA". It matches the Rfam family "Bacterial small subunit ribosomal RNA", at positions 362 to 776 of the family's 1533-position model. The record is from RNAcentral.